UACGGAGGAUCCAAGCGUUAUCCGGAUUUAUUGGGUGUAAAGGGUGCGUAGACGGGAAAUUAAGUUAGUUGUGAAAUCCCUCGGCUUAACUGAGGAACUGCAACUAAAACUGAUUUUCUUGAGUACUGGAGAGGAAAGUGGAAUUCCUAGUGUAGCGGUGGAAUGCGUAGAUAUUAGGAGGAACACCAGUGGCGAAGGCGAUUUGCUGGGCCAUUACUGACGCUCAUGCACGAAAGCGUGGGGAGCAAAUAGG
Molecule: ribosomal RNA, 253 nt
Filed under: uncultured Eubacteriales bacterium
Lineage: Bacteria; Bacillati; Bacillota; Clostridia; Eubacteriales
Description: uncultured Clostridiales bacterium partial 16S ribosomal RNA
Rfam family: Bacterial small subunit ribosomal RNA
Source: RNAcentral